AUCUCACCACCCUCCUUUCCACCCAUUUCAAGCUCAGAAUAGAUUGUAGAUAACUGAUAUCGGUGAUGACUACAAUUGGACUUGCCACAUCCAAAAACAGUAAGUUCAUUUCUUUUGAUACUUUUAGUCAUUCGCGAGCUCAUGCGUCGCUGUAAAUUAAAUUUUAUACUUUGGUUAUCUGUAUUAUAGUAUGAAUGAAUCUAUUUUGCUUUUACGCUGUAAAAAUUAUUUACGCAGUGUUCUAAAAAUAUUGUUUUAUAAGAAAAUAGAAUAUUUUGCUUAAUAUUUCUUUUAUUUUCUUAUUAUAUCCAAAUAAUCAUAAUUUCGUUUUAAAUGAAGACUUUAGACUUUUAAACUCAUUUUGAGUAUGAACUAUGUGUUUUGUACUUGUAAAUUACAAUUUUUGCCAGUUUCGAAAUAUUUGAGAAAAAUGACCAAUAUAUCCCUGUGGGACGAAAAUUAUUAUUUUAUUUAUUUUAAGUUGAAAAUAGCUUAAAAUCUCUUAAAACGUGAUAUUUGGCAACGGUUACUCACAGGGGAAAUGAGAAGCUGAUAUUAAAGCCUUGCGAGAUUUCGGUUGACAUUCCGGGUAAUGAAUGUCGAUCGGGACGUCGCAGCGGUUGUCACAGGCUCCAUGGGAUUUCCGGGUCGUGACAAGUGAAAUCCGUAAAAGUUGUAUGCAAAAGGAUUUUUAACAACACAAGUUAAAGAAAAAAGUUCAAAGGAAGAUUUGAUUUCAAUUGCAACCACAGAAAUAAUUAACAAAGCAAUGAAGAUAACAUUAUCCUAACUCUUAUUUAAUCUUUCUUGUUAAACUUUUUUAUAUUUUACUAAUCUUUGAGCAAAAAUUAUAUAUCAAUCACUGAAUUAAAUAUUUAAAUGCAUGAUAUAAAUUUUUGUUACAUUAGCAAAAUUUUAAAAUUUAAAUAUUAGUAUAAAAUUAUUAUAAAAAGUAAUUAUUAUUAAAUGCUUAAUUUUAUUACUAAAUUGUUAAAAGAGAGUUGAGGUUUGAGGAUGGAAGCUACUUUUUUAGCCACUUAGCCUUUUCUAUAUGUAACAAAAGAAGAUGUAAAAUAUGGACUCAAAUGUGUUUCUUGUGAGGCCAUCUUGUUUUUUAUGGUACUGUUGGAUCAUAUUAACCUCAAAGCUUUUGUACAGUUUUAAUU
This 1166-nucleotide long non-coding RNA is filed under the name Theobroma cacao (cacao). RNAcentral describes it as "long non-coding RNA (TCAC_LNC004322)". Lineage: Eukaryota; Viridiplantae; Streptophyta; Magnoliopsida; Malvales; Malvaceae. The record is from RNAcentral.